UCAAGUGCGUCGCAGUUUUUUAAUAUGGCGACGCAAAGGACUAGUCCAUCCUCAAAGAUUAUACUGCAUCGCAGCUUUUUAAUAUGGCGACGCAAUGAUACCCUAAAAUUCCUAAAAAUUAAUUCAUUUCCUCACAGAGGGUUUCCGCCUCCUCCCUCCAUACAUCUCUUUCUCUCUCAUCCUCCUUUUUCUAGAUCUCCUGUUUGAAACCCACCCUAACCACAACACCACUAUCCCGCUUCCCUUCAAAGGCUCCAAUACCUUGUUCUCUGUCUCCUCCGAAACUCUAAUCAAUGGAAAUCUAAGCUGUGCGAAAAUGGCAAGAACUGGAAAAAUUCUAGGUCCCGGCGCGACGAAGAAGGCUACAUCUCGAAGAAUUAAUGUUCGUUUGCAGUUUCCGUUGGGUAUUAUUGUUUGAUUUUUGAACGCUGAGUAAUAUGCUGAACAUGUUGGUGUUGGAGCUCUCGUUUACUCCGCCGCCAUCCAUGAUUACCUUCCUGCUGAGUGCUACAUCUAACAGCAUAUUAGAUCGAGCGAUUGAUUCCGAGGAAGCUCAGCAUCAUGACUUUCUCAGGCUGGAGCAUAUUGAAGGAUAUCAUGAAUUGUCUGCAAAAACCAAGAUAUACUUCUCCACAGCUGUUGGAAAAUGGGAUGCUGAUUUUUAUGUCAAGGUGGAUGACGAUGUACAUUUAAAUUUAGGUGUUUUUACGUCAACUCUUGCUCAUUAUCGAUCAAAACCAAGAGUGUAUAUCGGAUGUAUGAAAUCUGGACCCGUUCUGGCUGAUAAGAAUGUUAAAUACCAUGAACCAGAAUUCUGGAAGUUUGGGGAAGAUGGAAACAAGUACUUCCGCCAUGCAACUGGGCAGAUCUAUGCCAUCUCCAAAGAUUUGGCAACAUAUAUUUCUAUAAAUCAGGUCUCAUCUCAUUUGUGUUAACUAUAUUCACACCUUAACCAAAAUGUUUCUUUAGAUGGAACCGCUUUGCUAGUGGAUGAUUUCGUGAAGAAGCAAGGGAAACACUAGAAGAUUCUGGGCAGCAACUAAUAUUUUUUUUUUGUUGGGUGUCAAGAGAAACCGUUAGAUGGAAUACAUUGUUGUAAAUAUUUCAAGCUUUUGUAUUGUAAGAUUUAUGAAGGUACUGCCUUUACGUAUUUAGUCUUAUUG
Molecule: RNA transcript, 1163 nt
Organism: Spinacia oleracea (spinach)
Lineage: Eukaryota; Viridiplantae; Streptophyta; Magnoliopsida; Caryophyllales; Amaranthaceae
Gene name: beta-1,3-galactosyltransferase 7-like
Exons: 7
Source: RefSeq, a predicted model, not a curated record